UGGCUCAGAUUGAACGCUGGCGGCAGGCCUAACACAUGCAAGUCGAACGGUAACAGGAAGCAGCUUGCUGCUUUGCUGACGAGUGGCGGACGGGUGAGUAAUGUCUGGGAAACUGCCUGAUGGAGGGGGAUAACUACUGGAAACGGUAGCUAAUACCGCAUAACGUCGCAAGACCAAAGAGGGGGACCUUAGGGCCUCUUGCCAUCGGAUGUGCCCAGAUGGGAUUAGCUAGUAGGUGGGGUAACGGCUCACCUAGGCGACGAUCCCUAGCUGGUCUGAGAGGAUGACCAGCCACACUGGAACUGAGACACGGUCCAGACUCCUACGGGAGGCAGCAGUGGGGAAUAUUGCACAAUGGGCGCAAGCCUGAUGCAGCCAUGCCGCGUGUAUGAAGAAGGCCUUCGGGUUGUAAAGUACUUUCAGCGGGGAGGAAGGGAGUAAAGUUAAUACCUUUGCUCAUUGACGUUACCCGCAGAAGAAGCGCCGGCUAACUCCGUGCCAGCAGCCGCGGUAAUACGGAGGGUGCAAGCGUUAAUCGGAAUUACUGGGCGUAAAGCGCACGCAGGCGGUUUGUUAAGUCAGAUGUGAAAUCCCCGGGCUCAACCUGGGAACUGCAUCUGAUACUGGCAAGCUUGAGUCUCGUAGAGGGGGGUAGAAUUCCAGGUGUAGCGGUGAAAUGCGUAGAGAUCUGGAGGAAUACCGGUGGCGAAGGCGGCCCCCUGGACGAAGACUGACGCUCAGGUGCGAAAGCGUGGGGAGCAAACAGGAUUAGAUACCCUGGUAGUCCACGCCGUAAACGAUGUCGACUUGGAGGUUGUGCCCUUGUGGCGUGGCUUCCGGAGCUAACGCGUUAAGUCGACCGCCUGGGGAGUACGGCCGCAAGGUUAAAACUCAAAUGAAUUGACGGGGGCCCGCACAAGCGGUGGAGCAUGUGGUUUAAUUCGAUGCAACGCGAAGAACCUUACCUGGUCUUGACAUCCACGGAAGUUUUCAGAGAUGAGAAUGUGCCUUCGGGAACCGUGAGACAGGUGCUGCAUGGCUGUCGUCAGCUCGUGUUGUGAAAUGUUGGGUUAAGUCCCGCAACGAGCGCAACCCUUAUCCUUUGUUGCCAGCGGUCCGGCCGGGAACUCAAAGGAGACUGCCAGUGAUAAACUGGAGGAAGGUGGGGAUGACGUCAAGUCAUCAUGGCCCUUACGACCAGGGCUACACACGUGCUACAAUGGCGCAUACAAAGAGAAGCGACCUCGCGAGAGCAAGCGGACCUCAUAAAGUGCGUCGUAGUCCGGAUUGGAGUCUGCAACUCGACUCCAUGAAGUCGGAAUCGCUAGUAAUCGUGGAUCAGAAUGCCACGGUGAAUACGUUCCCGGGCCUUGUACACACCGCCCGUCACACCAUGGGAGUGGGUUGCAAAAGAAGUAGGUAGCUUAACCUUCGGGAGGGCGCUUACCACUUUGUGAUUCAUGACUGGGGUGAAGUCGUAACAAGGUAACC
RNAcentral lists this ribosomal RNA (1491 nucleotides) under uncultured bacterium. Its description in RNAcentral is "16S ribosomal RNA". It matches the Rfam family "Bacterial small subunit ribosomal RNA". The record is from RNAcentral.